CAUAUGACAGCCUUUGAUAUACCAGUCGUGGUGCUCUGGCUGGAAUGAGAAAUAGCCCAAUGGGCCCACCGAUGGGGAUCGAUCCCAAGUGAGCGCUUUACUACUGGGCUACGUCCCGCCCCUCAAACAUUGAAUUCAGCCAAAACCCUCGUCCACAGCACAGGUACCCCCAAACAGAAACCCUCGUCCACAGCACAGGUACCCCCAAAUAGAAACCCCUACUACAAAUACUAGAGUUACAUACAUAAAGAGUAAAGUACUCUUUAUUUUAUAACGUUACUAUAACAUAUCUGACGUUAAUGUUUGGGGGAUAUCUGUAUUAGGAAAUUAACUAUUACUGGCGGUCGGUCCCACAGUACUGAUAUUCAGUCUCGUAUUUCUCAAGUAGAGAAGUACAUUUCCUCUCAAAUGUUCCCUUAUUUCUUUCCAUAAGUAUAUUAUGUAUAAAUAUUUUAUAAAAAAAUAAACAAUAUUUAAUAAAUAAAAAAUACUGCCUUAUUAAUUUAAAUGUGUUUGUUUGUUAUCGUAUGAGCAAUAUUUAUAGAAGUUUGAAUUUAUGAGUUUCAUGUUUGCUUUUUUCAAUCACCAGAACACGCAAACAACUUGUAUAGAAACUAUUAUUGCUAAGCAAUAAAGAAAUCUAAAUUUGUCCCAGGAUUAAGCUCUAUUGUUGCCUAAUAUUGGCAGCUUUGUUUUUUAGGGUUCAGUUUUGUGUUGGGACAGUAAAUUUUAAGCUGUAAACCUGGACAUCCUGUUGUGAUUAUUACACCUGUUAUUAUUAUUGUUAGGGUACCAAUCCCUCUUGUUAUUGAUUUUACUGUUAUUAAUGUUUCCUUACAAUUAUAUAAAAAUGUCCCAUGACAAAAUGGCUGACAGUUUAGAAACUUAAAAUAUUUUAAAAGUAUCGCACAAUUAAUGACCAUCCUAUAAAAUUAUGUGAAAGGGUCAUUAAUUUUAGAAGAAAGGUUGGUCAUAGAAAUGCAAAAUAUUUUGUGGAGAAAAAAAAAAGAGUUGAAAAACAACAACCACAUUUUGCAUUGUGUAAUUGUAGAAUCACUAGAAUGGCCUCAUAAAAUCGGUCUCUAAUCUGGUCUUAUAAAUUAUGAAGUUAAAUGCCCAAUUUAGAAUUUCCUUGUAAUAUGUGCAUUUAUAUUCUAGCGUGCAAUUAACUGGUGUUUAUUUUUGGUUGGCUUCCUUGAGCACAACCUUAACAGAUUUACUGUUUGCCGUGACCAGACUAACUCAAUAUAAAUAAUCCAGACCCACUUGCUUUUACAACCAUUAUAGUUUCUUCUGUUUUCUUCCUGUUUUUAAAUUUUAAAAUUUACUAGUAAAAUGGUAGGUCAUGUUACAGCAAACCCAAAUGUUUACACUCAAGGUCUGAUUCUACUUACGUGUAAGUGUUUCACACUGCAAUACUAUGCCACAGUCGAACGACCAUCAAACACACACGGCCGAAUUUAUGAACAAUGUAGGUAGUGACACAUGUCAAGUUAUACACAGACUUUGUAAAUUCCACCCACUUUGUUUAUGAUAUCACUCGGGACAACAUUUUCCAUCUUGGCAAUAAACAUGGGUGGAUAGUGCUCACUUGUUCAUUAGUCUCCAUAUCCUGAUCCCAAAUACACAAUUCCAUUGGCUGAACCAAACAUGUUUGCCCCACAUAAAAUGCCCCAGAAUGCUCUUUUUCGCAUUCAGGGUAUUUCACAGUGUGGUGGCAGAGGUUUUUUUUAACUCGCACUGUGGUGGAAACCGUUUCAUUCUAACUCCAUUGCAGCAAACAAAGCACUUUACAUAGGCAUUUCAUGCAAACAACAGCAUGAAACAUUUAGGUAGAAUUGGGCCUUGAUAUGACAUCAUGUAAUUAACAUUUAACACUGCAGAAAUUGAUCAUAACAUUAAGCAAAUACACAUUAUCAGUACUUUGUUAAAAUCAAAGUUGCAAAUAUUACAUUUAUUUGAAAGUGUUUUGUUGAAAUAAAAGGAAUUUGUUAAUA
Molecule: long non-coding RNA, 1997 nt
Organism: Gigantopelta aegis
Lineage: Eukaryota; Metazoa; Mollusca; Gastropoda; Neomphalida; Peltospiridae
Exons: 2
Source: RefSeq, a predicted model, not a curated record